Molecule: long non-coding RNA, 1771 nt
Organism: Betta splendens (Siamese fighting fish)
Lineage: Eukaryota; Metazoa; Chordata; Actinopteri; Anabantiformes; Osphronemidae
Exons: 3
Source: RefSeq, a predicted model, not a curated record
GCAGAUUACAAGUAAACUCAGCGUUUCUGGAGUGUUCCGUGUUGAACCACUUCCCUCAAGAUUAGACUCGGUGACCCUAAACAGCUCAGUAUUGGUUUCAAACGGGGCCCAGUCUCUAUUUGUUACUGACUGACUGACUUUAACAGCAGCAUUGGAUCUUCUAGACAUUGAUUCAAAUGUUGCCCUUGCAUAACGCUUCCUGACGCUUUUCCUCUGAAGGUGGACUCUUCCUAAUGAGUUCUCCUCUAAGGGUGUGCAGGCAGAUGAUUUGGUCUCUAAUGGCUUUACUCAGUCCACCUCAGCAGUUCUCUGUUGUGGUGGGGUCUCAGCGGCCCUGUCGCCUCCUGCACUUCCCACCCUCCCCUUUCCUUAAUCAUAGUGACCCAGCCCACCUUGAGCCUGUGUGCUUCAGCAUACUCAGCACUACUGUGGUAAUAGGUAAUCAGCCUAUGGGCCUAAGCCGCUCCUCAUACCAACAGCAUGGACUCUGCUGUCACCUCACAUCCCAGUCUGAGGGAUGUGGGCUAAGCAUCACCACACCGGUCUCUGCUCACACAGGAAGAUGCAAAAAGCCUUAUUAACUAAUGUGUGGCGUCAAAGUAGUGCAAAUGACAGCGUGCACGGCCUAAAAUGAAUUAGAAUGUUGUGAGAGGAGCAAAGAUAUAUUGAUUGUGUUAAAAAGAAAACCUGCAGCUCCUCAAAGGUCCAUAUGAAGGUCACAUGCUCUCAACCCAUCAUCUGCUCCAGUUUGUUAUUCAAACAGCUGUAAUCACUGGUCCAAGCAACUGACAACUCAACACUUCAGGAACAAAUGGGGUUCAAGGAUUGCAGAAGGGUUGUUACCACCAACCUCAGGCCAGUGAUUCACUGCACCGAGCGAAGACGAGGGGAGGACGUCGUUAACGCCCGGCGAUGCACCAGGAGAUGCUCCAAUCAACAGUUAUCAUCAAGGACAAACAUGGUGAAGCAGAGAAAAACAAACAUAUCAGUCUUAAACAUAAUGACUCCCUCCACUCGCUGCUCUCUGGACCCCUCAUUGCUGAAAACCGUGUGGUCCAGCUCCAUUCAUCUCUGUCACACUGCAUUAGUGCCAUGCGGAGCUCGCACACACACACACAGACGCAGGUCCCUGGUCUGAUCUGCCGUUGGGGGGGUGGGGAGGCCGUGACAGCAGGCCUCUCCGAAGCUGGCCAAUGAAUAUAGAUCACCUAGCUAUUCUCAACCACUGGGCCUCUGGGACCCGGAGCCUCAGACUGGGUCAGACCCGCUCUGUGUGGACAUGCAGAUAGAGCUUUCUCCACUACAGCACCAGCACAGUUUGUGUGCGUAAAGUGAGCGUUUGCAGUCAAUAAAUGGGCAAUAGUUCAGAAUAUAUGUGAAGUGUUCGACAGCGGACUCCAGUCGUAUCUCUGGCAGCGACAGCGCUGAGACUAAUGGAGGGAAACGCGGACGACCCCGGCGAGUUUGCCGGUUUCCUCGGCAGAGCAGAUGGAGACGGAUCACAUUAAAAAAACGGAGCCAGUGUCCCACAUAGUUCAAAUUAAUUCAGACGUAGCUACCACCAAGGAUCCUCAGUCAGAAGAAUGAUUAUCCCGACUCUCAGUAUUUGAUUCACAAACAGGUGUUAAAGAAAUGCAGGAUUCUACAAUAAAGAAAUAAUGAAGUGCUGCUUCCCUUUGUGUCCUCUUUGUAUGUACUUGCAGUAAUCAAGUACAAACAGUACUAGUAGCUUGGUGAUGGCAGGACCCGCCUUUACUGCACCAACUGGGUG